Molecule: ribosomal RNA, 253 nt
Filed under: uncultured bacterium
Lineage: Bacteria
Description: partial 16S ribosomal RNA
Rfam family: Bacterial small subunit ribosomal RNA
Source: RNAcentral
UACGUAGGGUGCGAGCGUUGUCCGGAUUUAUUGGGCGUAAAGCGCGCGUAGGCGGCUGCGCAAGUCGGGUGUGAAACCCCGGGGCUCAACCCCGGAACUGCAUCCGAUACUGCGUGGCUAGAGGUAGGUAGGGGAGAUCGGAAUUCCUGGUGUAGCGGUGAAAUGCGUAGAUAUCUGGAGGAACACCGGUGGCGAAGGCGGCAUCCUGGACCAACAUUGACGCUGAGGAGCGAAAGCCAGGGGAGCAAACGGG